Molecule: ribosomal RNA, 206 nt
Filed under: uncultured bacterium
Lineage: Bacteria
Description: partial 16S ribosomal RNA
Rfam family: Bacterial small subunit ribosomal RNA
Source: RNAcentral
CGGAUUGCAGCCUGCAACUCGGCUGCAUGAAGCUGGAAUCGCUAGUAAUCGCGGAUCAGAAUGCCGCGGUGAAUACGUUCCCGGGUCUUGUACACACCGCCCGUCACACCAUGGGAGUCGGGAAUGCCCGAAGUCAGUGACCCAACCGAAAGGGGGAGCUGCCGAAGGCAGGCCUGGUAACUGGGGUGAAGUCGUAACAAGGUAAC